This 1079-nucleotide ribosomal RNA is filed under the name Methanosarcina mazei. RNAcentral's name for it is "bacterial SSU rRNA". It matches the Rfam family "Archaeal small subunit ribosomal RNA", at positions 223 to 1302 of the family's 1478-position model. The record is from RNAcentral. Lineage: Archaea; Methanobacteriati; Methanobacteriota; Methanomicrobia; Methanosarcinales; Methanosarcinaceae.
UAUCAGGUAGUAGUGGGUGUAAUGUACCUACUAGCCAGCGACGGGUACGGGUUGUGAGAGCAAGAGCCCGGAGAUGGAUUCUGAGACAUGAAUCCAGGCCCUACGGGGCGCAGCAGGCGCGAAAACUUUACAAUGCGGGAAACCGUGAUAAGGGGACACCGAGUGCCAGCAUCAUAUGCUGGCUGUCCGGAUGUGUAAAAUACAUCCGUUAGCAAGGGCCGGGCAAGACCGGUGCCAGCCGCCGCGGUAACACCGGCGGCCCGAGUGGUGAUCGUGAUUAUUGGGUCUAAAGGGUCCGUAGCCGGUUUGGUCAGUCCUCCGGGAAAUCUGAUAGCUCAACUAUUAGGCUUUCGGGGGAUACUGCCAGACUUGGAACCGGGAGAGGUAAGAGGUACUACAGGGGUAGGAGUGAAAUCUUGUAAUCCCUGUGGGACCACCUGUGGCGAAGGCGUCUUACCAGAACGGGUUCGACGGUGAGGGACGAAAGCUGGGGGCACGAACCGGAUUAGAUACCCGGGUAGUCCCAGCCGUAAACGAUGCUCGCUAGGUGUCAGGCAUGGCGCGACCGUGUCUGGUGCCGCAGGGAAGCCGUGAAGCGAGCCACCUGGGAAGUACGGCCGCAAGGCUGAAACUUAAAGGAAUUGGCGGGGGAGCACAACAACGGGUGGAGCCUGCGGUUUAAUUGGACUCAACGCCGGACAACUCACCGGGGGCGACAGCAAUAUGUAGGCCAAGCUGAAGACUUUGCCUGAAUCGCUGAGAGGAGGUGCAUGGCCGUCGCCAGUUCGUACUGUGAAGCAUCCUGUUAAGUCAGGCAACGAGCGAGACCCGUGCCCACUGUUACCAGCAUGUCCUCCGGGACGAUGGGUACUCUGUGGGGACCGCCGAUGUUAAAUCGGAGGAAGGUGCGGGCCACGGUAGGUCAGUAUGCCCCGAAUCUCCCGGGCUACACGCGGGCUACAAUGGAUGGGACAAUGGGUCCCUCCCCUGAAAAGGGCUGGUAAUCUCACAAACCCAUUCGUAGUUCGGAUCGAGGGCUGUAACUCGCCCUCGUGAAGCUGGAAUCCGUAGUAAUCGCG